This 253-nucleotide ribosomal RNA is filed under the name uncultured bacterium. RNAcentral describes it as "partial 16S ribosomal RNA". It matches the Rfam family "Bacterial small subunit ribosomal RNA", at positions 524 to 776 of the family's 1533-position model. The record is from RNAcentral.
UACGUAGGUGGCAAGCGUUGUCCGGAUUUACUGGGCGUAAAGAGCGCGCAGGCGGUCGUUCAAGUCGAGUGUGAAAGCCCCCGGCUCAACUGGGGAGGGUCAUUCGAUACUGAUCGACUCGAAGGCAGGAGAGGGAAGUGGAAUUCCCGGUGUAGUGGUGAAAUGCGUAGAUAUCGGGAGGAACACCAGUGGCGAAGGCGGCUUGCCAGAACGCGCUCGACGGUGAGGGAUGAAAGCUGGGGGAGCAAACCGG